Long non-coding RNA from Camelina sativa (false flax), 631 nucleotides. RefSeq lists it as uncharacterized. The record is from RefSeq and is a predicted model, not a curated record. NCBI's taxonomy places the organism in Eukaryota, Viridiplantae, Streptophyta, Magnoliopsida, Brassicales, Brassicaceae.
UCAAAUUCUCAACUUCUCUAUAUAGUAAAGGAAACUCAAGCUUUCAUCUCUCGUCACAGCCAAAGAAAAUAUGUUUCAGAUUACCAAAAUUUAGUAAACUUCUCUCUAUUUGUAAAAUCGCUUUCUAGUUUAUCUUUAUCCAAAAGUUUUUGAAAAUAGCAAAGUUCAGUAAAGUACCUUCUCUUAUUAUGUAAAAUCGCUCUGCAAAUUAGAUCGUCGUCGAUGGCCUGAAGGUGAAGAGUACUCUAUUUCAAAGGGAGACGUAUAGUUAAAAGGGCCAAAAAUAGCCAAACCAUCUCUCCAGUAUUUUUUGGUCGCGAAUCCAUUCGAGCUCCUUUUCUCUCUAAAGCCUCAAAUUAAUAUACAGAGCGGUGUUUCACACGAUAUUCGACUGGGAAAAGACAUGUCUGUAAGUGCAUCAGAGGUCUGUCGGUGACACGAUGUUAUGGAGUGGAUCAGAGCUCUGUCGGUGACAUGAUGCUGUGGAGAGUCCCAGACGUCUGAGGAGCUGACGUGGCAGAGAAUGCUGAGAUGGAGUGAAACUUGUAUCUUUCUUGGUGUGUGAAAUGGAAUGUGAAUGAAUGAUAUGGUGAUGAACAAUGGUGAAAGCAAGGUGUUUCAAUUCCCCUUA